This 253-nucleotide ribosomal RNA is filed under the name uncultured bacterium. RNAcentral describes it as "partial 16S ribosomal RNA". It matches the Rfam family "Bacterial small subunit ribosomal RNA", at positions 524 to 776 of the family's 1533-position model. The record is from RNAcentral.
UACAGAGAGUGCAAACGUUGUUCGGAAUUACUGGGCUUGAAGCGCACGUAGGCGGCGUUGUAAGUGUCGGGUGAAAUCCCACGGCUCACCCGUGGAACUGCCCGGCAUACUGCGAUGCUAGAGUGUGGUAGGGGAGAGCGGAACUCCUGGUGGAGCGGUGAAAUGCGUAGAUAUCAGGAGGAACACCGGUGGCGAAGGCGGGAUCCUGGGCCAGUACUGACGCUGAGGAGCGAAAGCGUGGGGAGCAAACAGG